GCUACUUCAUGCUGACGUGAGGACAGAUGGUGCUACAUUUUGAGCAGAGGAAACCCAGGUAGGCUAUUUUCCAUUUAUCUUGGGAGCCUUCUCUACUACUCUGCCACAUUC
Molecule: small nucleolar RNA, 111 nt
Filed under: Carlito syrichta (Philippine tarsier)
Lineage: Eukaryota; Metazoa; Chordata; Mammalia; Primates; Tarsiidae
Description: Small nucleolar RNA SNORA55 (ENSTSYG00000025324.2)
Rfam family: Small nucleolar RNA SNORA55
About the family: ACA55 is a member of the H/ACA class of snoRNA that guide the sites of modification of uridines to pseudouridines.
Source: Rfam by way of RNAcentral